GGAGGCGUGCCAGAGCGGUUGAAUGGGACGCACUCGAAAUGCGUUAUACUGGUCAAACAGUAUCGGAGGUUCGAAUCCUCUCGCCUCCUCAA
Molecule: transfer RNA, 92 nt
Filed under: Candidatus Wolfebacteria bacterium
Lineage: Bacteria; Candidatus Wolfeibacteriota
Description: tRNA-Ser
Rfam family: tRNA
About the family: Transfer RNA (tRNA) molecules are approximately 80 nucleotides in length. Their secondary structure includes four short double-helical elements and three loops (D, anti-codon, and T loops). Further hydrogen bonds mediate the characteristic L-shaped molecular structure. tRNAs have two regions of fundamental functional importance: the anti-codon, which is responsible for specific mRNA codon recognition, and the 3' end, to which the tRNAs corresponding amino acid is attached (by aminoacyl-tRNA synthetases). tRNAs cope with the degeneracy of the genetic code in two manners: having more than one tRNA (with a specific anti-codon) for a particular amino acid; and 'wobble' base-pairing, i.e. permitting non-standard base-pairing at the 3rd anti-codon position.
Source: RNAcentral